GGGGCGGUUGGGUAGCAGGGGGGCUCUGCUCGUCAGUGGGCGCCGUUUGCGUUUGCUUCCUUGGCCUUCACCCUGGGUGGCCAGUUUUUUCUUUGUGCGUCGUCCUCUACCAGAGAAAUGGUCGCUUUACCCUAGUCUAGACACGCUUUAAACAGCAGUUGUAAAAGUCAGUCUUCAAGCCUUGGAAUAAGACUUGCAUAAGAAUAUUAUGCAGCAUGGAUUCUCUACCAGAAGAAUUUUUUGUGAGGGAUCUUCCUCUGGAAGAGCAGGCUACAGAGGAAACCAAGAAAAAGGUAGAAAAAUCAACUGAUCAACUGGACAAACAGGAAAAGGACACACCUACUGAUCUUGUCCCUGUUAACCUACUACUAGAAGUGAAGAAAUUAUUGAAUGCAAUUAACACUCUACCAAAAGGUGUGGUUCCUCACAUCAAGAAGUUCUUACAAGAAGAUUUUUCUUUCCAAACUAUGCAGAGAGAAGUUGCAGCCAAUAGCCAGAACGGGGAGGAAGUUGUCCCUGCUUUGACCUUACGUUUCUUAAUAACACGGCUAGAAGCAGCACUUAGGAACAUCCAAGCUACUAAUUAUACUGCACAUCAGAUUAAUAUUGGUUAUUACCUGACAUUACUGUUUUUGUAUGGAGUAGCCCUCACUGAAAGAGGAAAGAAAGAGGAUUAUAUAGAAGCUGAGAAUAAAUUUCUAGUGAUGAAGAUGGUGAUCCAAGAAAAUGAAAUUUGUGAAAACUUUAUGUCAUUAGUUUAUUUUGGCCGUGGUUUGCUUCGAUGUGCUCAGAAGAGAUAUAAUGGAGGACUGCUAGAGUUUCAUAAAAGCUUACAAGAAAUAGGAGAUACAGAUGAUCAUUGGUUUGAUAUAGAUCCUACAGAAGAUGAAGAUUUACCUACAACUUUUAAAGACCUUCUUAAUAAUUUCAUCAAGACAACUGAGAGUAAUAUAAUGAAGCAGACCAUUUGCAGUUAUCUAGAUUGUGAGCGAUCUUGUGAAGCUGACAUUUUAAAGAACACCAAUUAUAAGGGAUUUUUUCAGUUAAUGUGCAGUAAGAGCUGCUGUGUUUACUUCCAUAAAAUUUGUUGGAAAAAGUUCAAGAAUUUAAAAUAUCCAGGUGAAAAUGAUCAGAGUUUUAGUGGAAAAAAAUGUUUAAAGGAAGGAUGUACGGGUGACAUGGUAAGGAUGCUACAAUGUGAGGUACCUGGAAUUGUCAAAAUUUUGUUUGAAGUUGUGAGAAAGGAUGAAUAUAUAACCAUUGAAAAUUUAGGAGCAAGCUAUAAAAAGUUGAUGUCUCUGAAAAUAACUGACACUGAUAAAAGACCGAAGAUCAGUUUAAAAUUUGGUACAAAAGAUGAAAUGCCUAUCUUCAAACUUGAUUAUAAUUAUUUCUAUCAUCUGCUUCAUAUAAUUAUUGUUUCUGGUACUGACAUUGUUCGGCAAAUAUUUGAUGAGGCUCUGCCACCCCCUCUUUUGAGAAAAGAGCUUCUUAUACACAAGAAUGUACUGGAACCCUACUACAACCAUCUUUGGACCAAUCACCCUUUGGGUGGAGCAUGGCAUCUGCUUUAUCCCCCAAACAAGGAGCUACCACAGUCCAGACAGUUUGACUUGUACCUCCUAUUAGCUCUCAUAAAACAUUUGAAUGUGUUCCCUGCACCCAAAAAAGGCUGGAAUAUGGAACCACCAGCUUCUGAUCUCUCUAAGUCUGCAGACAUCCUGAGGCUGUGCAAAUACAGGGAUAUCCUCCUUAGUGAGAUUUUGAUGAAUGGUCUCACUGAGUCACAAUUCAAUUCAAUUUGGAAAAAAGUUUCAGAUAUUCUUCUGCGCCUUGGGAUGAAGAAAGAAGAUAUUGACAAAGUGAAGGAGAACCCCAUUGAGAAUAUCUCCCUUGAUUACCAUCAACUGUCCAUCUACCUAGGCAUACCAGUACCAGAAAUCAUCCAGAGGAUGUUAUCCUGCUAUCAACAAGGAAUUGCUCUACAGUCAAUAACAGGCAGUCAACGUAUUGAAGUAGAAGAGUUACAAAAUGAAGAAGAAGAACUCAGUCCACCUCUUAUGGAGUACAAUAUAAAUGUGAAAUCAAUCCCUGAAAUACAGUUAGCAGAAAUGAAUAAAGAUGGGGCAUCGAUACCCAGUGAAUCUUCAACAGAAUCUAUUAAAGAUCUCCAGGAAGUUAAGAGUAAACCAAAGAAAAAGAAAAAGACCAAGAAUAAAAAGAAUAAGGAAUCAAAAGAAGAGCAAGUCCCAAGUAUGAUAGGAAAGGAAGAGCAGCUGAAGAAAGAACAAGCAAAUCUGUAUGCAAUCAGUAGAUUUAUGAAAGAUGAUGCAAGCAAUAUUCACGAAGAUUCUACGACUGAAGACAAGUCCUAUAGUCUGGAUGAAUUGCAUAUUCUGGACAUGAUAGAGCAGGGCUCAACCAACAAGGUCACUGCAGAGCGUGGAGGAGCCGAGGAGGCGCUCGCCCGACGACGGCGGCUUUGUGAGCUGCGCUGCCAGUGUGAAGAUUUCAAAAGACAGCUAAAAACCGUGACUUUGUGGUGGCAAGAAAACCAAAUGCAGAUUAAAAAGAAAGAUAAAAUCAUCGAAUCUCUUAACCAGCAAGUGGCUUUUGGAAUCACUAAGAUGUCCAAAUUACAGCGUCAGAGCCAUGCUAAAGAUAAUGAAAUCAAGAACCUUAAAGAGCAACUUUCUAUGAAAAGAUCUCAGUGGGAAAUGGAGAAGCAUAAUCUGGAAAGCACAAUUAAAACAUACUUAAACAAACUGAAUGCAGAAACUAGCAGGGCUUUAACAGCUGAGGUGUAUUUCCUACAGUGUCGUAGAGAUUUUGGCUUGCUGCACCUGGAGCAGACCGAGAAGGAGUGCCUCGGCCAGCUUGCCAGGGCGACUCACAUGGCGGCAAGCAACCUAAAAUCACUUCAGUUAAAGGCUGCCGUAGACAGUUGGAAUGCCAUUGUGACAGAUGUUAGAAACAAGAUUGCAUUCCUCAGGACACAAUACAAUGAGCAAAUCAGCAAGGUGAAGCAAGGCUUUGCCUUGAGCACACUGCCUCCAAUCCAGCUUCCUCCACCGCCUCCCAGUCCUGAGACACUGAUGCAGCAGUUCUUGGGAAGACCCAUUGUGAAAGAAUCUUUCUUUAGACCCAUACUCACUGUUCCUCAAAUGCCUGCCGUUUGUUCUGGAAUCGUCUCUGCAACUGGUCAAUCUAGAUCUCCCUUGAUGAAUAGGAUAGCCUGGACACUGCCAGCUCCUGUGGGAGAAGCUGUGCCCCCCAGUGCAAGUCUAGGACGUGACCCCCUCGUGAUGGAUUGGGAGAAGGUUACGGAGAGGCUGAAAACUGCCUUUCCACAGCAGACCAGAAAGGAGCUUACAGAUUUCGUACGGAAAUUGAAGGAUACUCAUGGGAAAUCCUUAUCUGGACUGACAUUUGAUGAAAUUGUUCACAAGAUUUCCCAAUUUAUUGACCCCAAGAGAUCUCAGAGUCAAGGAAGAUCAGCACCAAAUGGUAAUCGUGUUUCACCGAGCCAUACUGCACCACAGGCUAACGCUGCCCAGCCCUCAGAACCAACCCCAAGGUCCCUUGGUUCACAAGGCUCAGUGACACAGGAAGGAGCCAGUCAUUUGGAUGAUGAGGAAGAAGAGCCUUGUGUGGUCUGUCAUGAGAAUCUCUCUCCAGAUAACCUGUCAGUUUUGCCUUGUGCACAUAAAUUCCAUGCUCAGUGCAUUAGACCUUGGUUGAUGCAACAGCGGACAUGCCCAACCUGCAGACUCCACGUUUUGCUACCAGAAGAAUUUCCAGGUCACCCAAGCCAGCACUUGCCCAAGAUCUGAUUCAGCAGGGUGACUAUGCAAAGGAAGUUCAAUUUUCAGACUCCAGAAUUUAGUUUUCCAUUUAUUUGAGCAGAUAGUGUGAGAGAUAUGAAGUAGUAUGUUCUUCAGUAUUAUUCAAAAUAAGCUAGUUGAUCUCAUCAAAGCUGCAGCCAAAGAGGAGAGGACAAAUCUUCAGGACUGAACUGAACUGAAACAGUUUAAAGAGGAACAGCUUGCCCUAGACCAUGCAGUUAAAUAAUGGCUGAGCCAGUCCUAAUACCUGAGAGAGUCCUGAUAUGCAAUUGAAAAUUUAGCAAAACUCCUCUACAUUUAUAAAAUGCUCCUGGAAUACCUUAAUCCCUUAUCACAUAGCCUCUCAGGCUAGAAGAUACCCUUGGAGAAUUUAUGAGACACCAGGCUUCCACUGAUGCAUAUACCCUCUUGAUUGACAGAAGCAAAGAAGCAAAACUAUCUACACACAGAUGGCUAAUAGGAUUUAUGAAGUAUAGUUUUUUAAUCACUGUAAACAUCUGGUAGACCUAGCCGGGUGAGAAGACCUCAAAUAUGAGCAGAUAAGUCUAUUGGUGCAGCUAUAUACUGGAAUACCUGCAUUCUGAUUAUGAAGUAAACGUGCUUCCUUGGGAGCACUUCCCCAGCCUCCGGUCAAAGUUUAAUUUCCUGGUCCAUCCCCUCCCUGCACUCACCUGAUCUGUGCUUCUUUUGUGCUUGUAAGCAAAGCUGUCUCUGUCUGGUCGCCUCUGUAAUGUAAUGUAAGUUUGUGUAUCGUUCUAAAGAAAUGUUUCUUAAAUUGAAAUGGAAAAAAACAAAGUCCUAGGAUUUUGGUUAACAUGGAAAGAUUCAUACAGUGGCUAAUUGAAAAGGCAAUCAGGUUAGAAAAUUGUGUAAGACUAUGAUCCAGUUUUACUAAAAAAUUUCUUUUGAAUGCAUAGCAAAACACUGGAAAGAUAUAUUCUGAACUGUAGCUGUGGUUUUCUGAGUGGUAGAUUACUGAUGCUUUUCAUUUUCACUAGUUUUGCUUGACUGUAGUUUUUUUAAUGAUUAAUGUGUUUUACUUAGGUGGAAAGAAAAUAUCAAUUGUUGUUGUUUAGUCGCUAAGUUGUGUCCUUUGCAACCCCAUGGACUGAAGCAUGCCAGGCUUCCCUGUCCUUCACUACUCGCGGAGUUGGCUCAAAUUCAUGUCCAUUGAGUCGAUAGUGCUAUCUAAACAUUUCAUCCUCUGCUUCUGCCUUUUCCUUUUGCUUUCAAUCUUUCCCAAUAUCAGGGUCUUUUCCAAUGAGUUGACUCUUCACAUCAGGUGGUCAAAAUGUUGAAGCUUCAGCCUCAGUCCUUCCAAUGAAUAUUCAGAGUUGAUUUCCUUUAGCACGGACUGGUUUGUUCUCUUUGCUGUCCAAGGGACUGGCAAGAGUCGUCCCCAGCACCACAGCUGGAAAGCAUCAAUUCUUCUCCACUCACCCUUCUUUAUGGUCCAACUCUCACAUCUGUAUAUGACUACUGGAAAAGCCAUAGCUUUCCUUCCAAGGAGCAAGUGUCUUUUAAUUUCAUGGCUGCAGUCACCACCUGCAGUGAUUUUGGAGGACCAGGACUGCUCAGAUGUGAAGAAUGAGCUAGGAUGCAGUCCUUAUCUGACAACUGUACCUGUGAGCUGCAUAGAAAGAAGUGGGCUCAAGCGCAGGUCACGUUACCAGGAGACCAGAAGGAGCCGGGAGAAAGGAAAGGAGGGAACAGAAUCGAAGAAGGAAGAGUCAGCAGUGAGGGUAGAAUCCAGUUCUUUGAAAACUUAGAUACAGAUUCAACCCCUCAUAAUGACUCUUAGUGACUAUGGAGCUAAUACUCCUGUCUAUAAUAAUUUGCCUUCAGAUUAUUGAAGAAGUUCAGCUGGAGGCAGAAAGAUGGUGGACCUGUGACCUAUCAGCCUCAUUAAAUAUCACUGGAAUCCAUUUUUAUCAGAAGAUUACAGAUUUCUAGAAUGUGAUUCCUGUAUCACAUAAAAACUUGCGGUUUCUUAACUUUCUUAAUAAAAAUUCUAAGACAGAGGGAAGUAAGUUUCAAGUACCGUGCUUUUCCCUAACAUUCAGGUGUGUGUUGUGUACUCCUCACAUUGACUAGAGAGGGCUGUUUGAUAGUGAUUCUGAGCAGAUAAGAAAAAACAGAAAGGAAAAUGGUUAUUUCUUGGUCACUGAGACAAAUGAUGGUUUUCUGUCAUUUUUCUGCCAAUAACCCCAUUGCAGAAAGAAGGGAAAAAAGUUCAAAAAGUGGCAGAAGCUCUCCUUUCCUUCGAAACAAUCAUCACA
Molecule: RNA transcript, 6124 nt
Organism: Dama dama (fallow deer)
Lineage: Eukaryota; Metazoa; Chordata; Mammalia; Artiodactyla; Cervidae
Gene: DZIP3
Gene name: DAZ interacting zinc finger protein 3
Exons: 35
Source: RefSeq, a predicted model, not a curated record